RNAcentral lists this non-coding RNA (161 nucleotides) under human gut metagenome. Its description in RNAcentral is "Lysine riboswitch". It matches the Rfam family "Lysine riboswitch aptamer". From Rfam's summary of the family: Riboswitches are metabolite binding domains within certain messenger RNAs that serve as precision sensors for their corresponding targets. Allosteric rearrangement of mRNA structure is mediated by ligand binding, and this results in modulation of gene expression. The record is from RNAcentral.
UGAUAGAGGCGCGGGAUUCAUCAGUACCGGGAGCAGAGAAGGCAGGACAGCCGCUCAGGGAAAGGGGAUACCGCCGAAGGAUGAUUUGCCGGUCCGGGCAGAUGAUUCUGGGAUGACGCAGAAGAUGCGGCAUACUGUCACAAUAUGUGGAGCGCUAUCUG